UUCAGUGUCUAACUGUAUUGUAUUAUUUGGAAGAUCAAAGUAAAGCAUCUGUUCUUAUCAGCUUAAUUUCUGGUAUGAAUCCCAAGUGGAUUCGUUAAGAAAUUUGCAUAAGUUUUUGAAAAAAUAGGCAUUUGGUCGAGUGCUCGCACCACCAUUUGUCGCGGGUCGUCCUGAUAUUGCACUACAUUCAGGAACGGCCUAUUCCCC
Molecule: small nuclear RNA, 207 nt
Organism: Trichinella patagoniensis
Lineage: Eukaryota; Metazoa; Nematoda; Enoplea; Trichinellida; Trichinellidae
Rfam family: U2 spliceosomal RNA
About the family: U2 is a small nuclear RNA (snRNA) component of the spliceosome (involved in pre-mRNA splicing). Complementary binding between U2 snRNA (in an area lying towards the 5' end but 3' to hairpin I) and the branchpoint sequence (BPS) of the intron results the bulging out of an unpaired adenosine, on the BPS, which initiates a nucleophilic attack at the intronic 5' splice site, thus starting the first of two transesterification reactions that mediate splicing.
Source: Rfam